UACGGAGGGUGCAAGCGUUAUCCGGAUUCACUGGGUUUAAAGGGUGCGUAGGUGGCUUUGUAAGUCAGUGGUGAAAGCCCGGAGCUCAACUCCGGAACUGCCAUUGAUACUGCUUAGCUUGAAUCACGUCGAGGUGGAUGGAAUAAUACAUGUAGCGGUGAAAUGCUUAGAUAUGUAUUAGAACACCGAUUGCGAAGGCAGUUCAAUAGGCGUGUAUUGACACUGAGGCACGAAAGCGUGGGGAUCAAACAGG
This 253-nucleotide ribosomal RNA is filed under the name uncultured bacterium. RNAcentral's name for it is "partial 16S ribosomal RNA". It matches the Rfam family "Bacterial small subunit ribosomal RNA", at positions 524 to 776 of the family's 1533-position model. The record is from RNAcentral.